AGGAGGAGAAGGAGGAGGAGGAGACUAAUCACUUUCAAUUGAAGACCCUCAAUUGCAAAGGUCAAUUGAUUUUGAAAUCUGGAAAAUUCCUUUCCACUUGCAUUGAGAUCCAAACAUGCUUUUGGAACCACAGUUUGAACUUGAAAAGUAUAUCCUCUGCAAAUCUUUGUGGAAAUGGAGAUGUGGAUAUAAAAAAAACAUUGACAGCACAGGAGGAGAAUGGUGCUUCUCUUACAAGGAUGGCUGAUAGGCGGUCACCAGAGCUGUCACCGCGCCCAUGAAGUUCGAGAUCUGCACUCCUGCUGUGCACGUUGAGGAGCUCAGACUCUGUUGCAUCUACUUAAGAGGAAGCUCAUUCUGCUGCUUCCAGAC
This is a long non-coding RNA of Suricata suricatta (meerkat), 372 nucleotides long. RefSeq lists it as uncharacterized. Lineage: Eukaryota; Metazoa; Chordata; Mammalia; Carnivora; Herpestidae. The record is from RefSeq and is a predicted model, not a curated record. The transcript is spliced from 3 exons.